UGCAUUUUUCACAUUUUUGAAAAGCCCUUCUUGAUUUAAACUAAACGAAUAACAACUUUUGCUCUUAAGAGGAACUAAAAAUUAAGAAGGGUUCUCCAAAGACACUAUCCAAAGAAUCCCUAGAGCAAUGGAAUGCCUUGAAUCGCUUACAUUCAGUGUCUAAGGAUGCCAUAACAUGCUGAGAACUAAUAUAUCAAUCACAAAAGCAUAUAUAAUAAAAGCAUGAGAAUGCAAUAAAAAUGACAACAGGAUUGACUGAACAAGGAAACUUAAAGUCUUUCUUUUCACUAUAUUAUUCUCUAAAUCCUUCCAAGUAAUAAGGAACUC
RNAcentral lists this unclassified non-coding RNA (327 nucleotides) under Hevea brasiliensis (rubber tree). Lineage: Eukaryota; Viridiplantae; Streptophyta; Magnoliopsida; Malpighiales; Euphorbiaceae. The record is from RNAcentral.